GUGACAAUAGGUUAACUGGUAAACCCUGGCACUUCCAAUGCUAUUAUGCGUGUUCGAUUCACGCUUGUCAUA
Transfer RNA from Clavispora lusitaniae ATCC 42720, 72 nucleotides. It matches the Rfam family "tRNA". From Rfam's summary of the family: Transfer RNA (tRNA) molecules are approximately 80 nucleotides in length. Their secondary structure includes four short double-helical elements and three loops (D, anti-codon, and T loops). NCBI's taxonomy places the organism in Eukaryota, Fungi, Ascomycota, Pichiomycetes, Serinales, Metschnikowiaceae. The record is from Rfam.